GACGAACGCUGGCGGCGUGCUUAACACAUGCAAGUCGAACGGAAAGGCCCUGCUUUUGUGGGGUGCUCGAGUGGCGAACGGGUGAGUAACACGUGAGUAACCUGCCCUUGACUUUGGGAUAACUUCAGGAAACUGGGGCUAAUACCGGAUAGGAGCUCCUGCUGCAUGGUGGGGGUUGGAAAGUUUCGGCGGUUGGGGAUGGACUCGCGGCUUAUCAGUUUGUUGGUGGGGUAGUGGCUUACCAAGGCUUUGACGGGUAGCCGGCCUGAGAGGGUGACCGGCCACAGUGGGACUGAGAUACGGCCCAGACUCCUACGGGAGGCAGCAGUGGGGAAUAUUGCACAAUGGGCGGAAGCCUGAUGCAGCAACGCCGCGUGCGGGAUGACGGCCUUCGGGUUGUAAACCGCUUUCGCCUGUGACGAAGCGUGAGUGACGGUAAUGGGUAAAGAAGCACCGGCUAACUACGUG
Molecule: ribosomal RNA, 468 nt
Filed under: uncultured bacterium
Lineage: Bacteria
Description: partial 16S ribosomal RNA
Rfam family: Bacterial small subunit ribosomal RNA
Source: RNAcentral